RNAcentral lists this ribosomal RNA (449 nucleotides) under uncultured bacterium. Its description in RNAcentral is "partial 16S ribosomal RNA". It matches the Rfam family "Bacterial small subunit ribosomal RNA", at positions 328 to 794 of the family's 1533-position model. The record is from RNAcentral.
AAGCCAGACUCCUACGGGAGGCAGCAGUGGGGAAUAUUGCACAAUGGGGGGAACCCUGAUGCAGCGACGCCGCGUGGGUGAAGGAGUCCUUCGGUACGUAAAGCCCUAUCAGCAGGAAAGAAAAUGACGGUACCUGACUAAGAAGCCCCGGCUAACUACGUGCCAGCAGCCGCGGUAAUACGUAGGGGGCAAGCGUUAUCCGGAUUUACUGGGUGUAAAGGGAGCGUAGACGGCAGUGCAAGUCCGGAGUGAAAGCCCGGGGCUCAACCCUGGGACUGCUCUGGAAACUGUAAAGCUGGAGUGCGGGAGGGGCAGGCGGAAUUCCUGGUGUAGCGGUGAAAUGCGUAGAUAUCAGGAGGAACACCGGCGGCGAAGGCGGCCUGCUGGACCGUAACUGACGUUGAGGCUCGAAAGCGUGGGGAGCAAACAGGAUUAGAUACCCCUGUAGU